CAGAACAUGGCUUUAUUGGAUACUCCCCAGAACUGCUAGAGAGCAACACUCUGCCAGAGUACAGCCCUGGGGAGUCUUUCUUCACUGUGUUUGGGGUGUUCUUCCCGGCAGCUACAGGCGUCAUGGCUGGCUUCAACAUGGGAGGAGACCUGAGGGAGCCUGCCACCAGCAUACCUCUAGGUUCCCUAGCAGCUGUCGGCAUCUCGUGGUUUCUGUACAUCAUCUUUACCUUCCUGCUUGGUGCCAUCUGCACCCGAGAGGCCCUCCGCUCUGACUUCCUGAUAGCUGAAAAG
This is a non-coding RNA of Cricetulus griseus (Chinese hamster), 293 nucleotides long. The record is from RefSeq and is a predicted model, not a curated record. Lineage: Eukaryota; Metazoa; Chordata; Mammalia; Rodentia; Cricetidae.